This 277-nucleotide unclassified non-coding RNA is filed under the name Hevea brasiliensis (rubber tree). The record is from RNAcentral. Lineage: Eukaryota; Viridiplantae; Streptophyta; Magnoliopsida; Malpighiales; Euphorbiaceae.
AUCAGCAGCAUCAUUAAAAAGACGAGUAGGAAGAAGGCCAAAGUUAUGCAAGCUCAAAAUGCAUUCCAGGAUGUUUUUCCAACCAGAACGAAUAUGGUCCCCAUACUUGUUUGCUAUUGUAAAGACAGCUAAAGUGGCCAAUCUAGCUUUAUUAUCUUGGGCAAAUGUAACAAUAAAUUCAUCAGUAUAUGAUGGAAGCAAAAGAGUUGUGAACUUGCAAAGAGAUACUACUAAAUCAUCCAAUACAUCAUCAAAGUUGUAGGAGGCUGAAAUUUUG